CAGUCGCCGCGGUAAUACAGAGGGUGCGAGCGUUAAUCGGAUUUACUGGGCGUAAAGCGUGCGUAGGCGGCUUCUUAAGUCGGAUGUGAAAUCCCUGAGCUUAACUUAGGAAUUGCAUUCGAUACUGGGAAGCUAGAGUAUGGGAGAGGAUGGUAGAAUUCCAGGUGUAGCGGUGAAAUGCGUAGAGAUCUGGAGGAAUACCGAUGGCGAAGGCAGCCAUCUGGCCUAAUACUGACGCUGAGGUACGAAAGCAUGGGGAGCAAACAGGAUUAGAUACCCGCGUAGUCCCUGUCCUUAUACA
RNAcentral lists this ribosomal RNA (301 nucleotides) under uncultured bacterium. Its description in RNAcentral is "partial 16S ribosomal RNA". It matches the Rfam family "Bacterial small subunit ribosomal RNA", at positions 509 to 809 of the family's 1533-position model. The record is from RNAcentral.